RNAcentral lists this unclassified non-coding RNA (3231 nucleotides) under Hevea brasiliensis (rubber tree). The record is from RNAcentral. Lineage: Eukaryota; Viridiplantae; Streptophyta; Magnoliopsida; Malpighiales; Euphorbiaceae.
UAUCAGAUCAGGAUGCAGCCAAUCCUUCUAAUAACUCCAGGAAAGACCGUUGGACUCCUGAUGAUUUAGAGAAAUUGGGGUUUGACAAUCAUCUCAGAAAACCACUGAGUGCACAUGAGGUUUUGUCAAGGUUUGAUAGAGAAACUUCUGCUGAUUCUCUAUCCACUGAACAGAAAGAACAAGUUUCUUUUGGGCGCCAUUUGUCCUCCCCAUGGCGACUAAAGGAGUUGCAUCUAACCGAUGGGCCAAUAAUUUCUGGGAAUUCUACUAUGAAUACAGGUCAAACAGAGGGAUACUCUGCCACUCUUGGCGGGUUGCCUGUGAAAGCAAGUUCCUCUUUGCCCAGAAUGGCAGUUCGACCACAUAUGGGAACCUCAGGGUCUGUGUUAUCAGCAAACACAUUAUUAGGGUCAGGUCAACAAAGGAUUCAGUCGCUAGGAGCAGCAUCACCAUCUGGACAGUCACCAUUGCGCCAACAUCCACCCUCACCUUCAUUUCCAGCACGUUAUCCACAUAAGCAAUUGCAAAAUUCAGUGGAGCAAGACCUGUCUCGUCCUGAUUAUAAGGCACAUCAAUUGUCAGGGAAUUUAGUUUCUUCAAAUGUUCAGCUUGGUAACUUGCAAAAACUGCAUCCUGAAGACUUGCCUACAUCAUCUCCUUCUCUACCUUCUUUUCAAAACAGCCGCCAGUAUCCUAUGUCACAGCCACGACAAGUUGACUCCAAACAGCUUGAACCCUUUGGUCAUAUUCAAAAGACACAUCUAACUCUAGUUCCCAAAGUUGGUACUCCUUCAUCGUUUGGAAUUUCUACACCAGAUCAUUCAACUCUACUUAGUGCAGAAACUUCAGGCCAGUCAAGCACAAGUAGUUUGUUGGCUGCUGUUAUGAGUAGUGGAAUUCUCUCUAAUAUAACCACUGUUAGCCUUCCUAAUCAAAGUUUUCAGGAUGUCAGGCAAAAUCCAUUGGACUUGAGCAUUCAGCCUUCUAUUCCAAGUGGGCCUCUUUCUCCCCAAAUUGCAUCUUCUGGGCCAAGGGUUAAGUCGGUAUCAGCUCCUCUGUCACAUGAUAUCACAUCGGUCACCUCAAAUGUUUCUCAAAGGAAAGAAGAGCAGCCUCCACUGCCUCGUGGUCCUCCACCUUCAUCUGUACAAACUUCAAGUGCAAUGAAUAAGGAAGAUAAUCAAAUAUCAAACCUUUUAAGCUCAUUAGUUGCCAAGGGUUUGAUAUCGGCAUCAAAGUCGGAGACAUUGUCUCUCUUACCGCCUCAGUUGCAUACUCAAUCACAGACACAGAACCUUUGCAUCGCCAACUCCAGCAACACAUCAACUUCUUCUCUUCCGGUUUCUUCUGCUAUUCCCUGUUCAUCCACCAAAGAUGAAGUUUCAUUGCCCAGGCCAGAUGCUAAAGAGUCUGUUGUGUUGCCUCAAUGCAUUUCAGCAGAGAUAAAAAGUCUCAUAGGAUUGGAGUUUAAAUCAGACAUAAUUCGAGAAUUACAUCCGCCUGUGAUAUGUUCACUCUUUGAUGAUCUUCUGCAUCAAUGCAGCAUAUGUGGCCUUAAACUUAAGCAUAAAGAGAGGCUUGAUAGGCACUUGGAGUGGCACACUUGGGGGAAGCCAGAACCAGAUGGUAUAAAUAAAAUUACAAGGAGAUGGUAUGCAUCUUCAGGGGACUGGAUUACUGGAAAGGCAGAGCUUCCAUUUAGAAUUGAGUCUUCUGUUUUCACAGAUGAGUUAGUGAGGACAAUGGAUGAGAAUGAACCUAUGGUUCCUGCAGAUGAAGAUCAAUGUGUAUGUGUCUUGUGUGGUGAGCUGUUUGAAGAUUAUUAUAGUCAUGAAAAGAAGAAAUGGAUGUUUAAAGCAGCAGUGCACUUGUCACUUACCUUGAGGGAUGGUGGGAUAGGAACUACAAGUGAGAAUGCUGAGGGUCCCAUCGUGCAUGUGAAUUGUAUAUCAGAAAGUUCAGUUCAUGACUUGGGGCUUGCAAGUGGUAUUGAAAUGGAUAAGGAUGGAUAAUGCCUAGAUUUGAAAACAAGACACCAGGACUGAUUGGCAGGUACAAGCAUACUGGAAUUUCAGGUGUACCGUGCAGAAGGUUUGUGAAUGGGCAUAUGAUGCUAAUUUUAUUGUGCAUCAAAAUGAUGCUGAGAGCUGUCUUGUAAUAUUCCCGCUUGUUUUUAUCUUUUUUUAGUCCUAUUUCCCCCUAUUUAUAGUCUUAUAGAAAUAUAUAUAAAUGCCAGAUAGUUUACACCUCAACUUUCUUCACUAAUGUGGUUGAUGUGUUGUUCUUUUUAUGUGUUGUUUUUGAAUUUACGGAAGCGGGUUUGCACUCAAUACCAUCGUCAGAUGCCAGUGACAGAAGGAAAAGCACUACCAUUUCUCAUUCAGCUCCACAAUUGGCUUUAUGGGUCUUCGUAUCACUAGAAUAGAAAUGAAGCUGCUGCUUUCUUUUCUUAUUUUUCUUUUUUUUUUUUUUAAUCAGUUUUGUCUUUUCUUCAUUUCCUUUUUGAAUAUUUGAUUUGGCAAUGUUGGUGCAUCGAUUCUUAUAUGGUUUGUUAGUGAGACUCGGACAGUAAUGAUGUAUUAUGCGUCUUGUUUUCCCAACUCUUGAAAAUUGCUUUGUUCCUAUCGGCCUCUUGGUGUAGUGCUUUUUCUUGAAUGGAUGGUUCUCUAUUAAAACUAUUGUUCCUUGGUCUGGUUUUACUUGUUUCCCUUGGUCAGGCGUUUUACAAAAGCUUGCUGCAUUUAAAUAUUCAAAUUGGAUAAAAAGAACGGGAUGCGUUAUUCUCCUGGAAAAUUUCUGUGGUCUUGGAUUUGAGGCAGGCAAACUUCAAUGGGCAUGAUUAGUUUAAAAUCUGACUGACCACAAGGCUCUUGAUUGGAGAGCGAACUGUAGGGCAGAAAACAUAUUUCUGGGAUGGAUGCGGAAGUCCAAAAAUGAGGUUCAAUCCAGAUAUGUUGACAACAUAAUCCCACGGCGGAGAAUCUAUCAAGUCGUUGGGCUCUUGAGGGCUGAAAGGGUAGUCAUUGCUGAGAUACUGGAAUGGUAGUGUGAAACUAGGAAGUAAUGAGGUUUAGAACGUUUCAAGAAUGUGGAUUUACGUGUGGAAUUUCCAUCAAGUCCACAUCAGGGUGAAAAGGAAGAGUGUUAUUAUUGGGAGUUUUCCUUCUUUUGAUUAUAUGGUUCAUGAUGGCAACACUACCGUAACAACUAAAUAUUAAAAUUGGAAUGGAU